AGAAAACUCUUGUCACUUAGAAUAAGGCAAACUUUCUGAUUUAUGUAUAUAUAAAGAUAAAGCAGUCAAGCAGUCAAGGCCAAAUACUAUUAUCCAAAUAAAGUUAUUUCAGUUCCUUGAGCCCCAGUUGCCUUACUGGUAAAAUUGAGAUAAUACCAACUACCUUGAGGGUUGUUUUAGGCUUUAGAAACAAUAAACCAAACAUUAAGUACAGAAUGGCACAAAAUAGGUGCACAGUAGACGGCAGCCACUGUAACUGUAAUUCUUUGUUUCAUCUGGACUUCUUACAAAAGUAGAAGGGGUAAAGUUCAAAAUGAUAGCUAUUGAAGAAAACUUAGAUUUCAUAAUGCAGGUUGAAAUAUGACUCAUAAGUUCAAGAUAUAAGAUUCCUAAUAUAACUUCCCACCAUAUCUCUCACCAUCACUCUUUCCUCCAUCCAUGUCCUGUUUCAGCUCCAAAAACCUACAAGGUUGUCUUUUGCACCAAGUUUUCCAACACUCACUUCCCUCAAAAAACACCUGCUUCUAUUCCCCAAUUCUUUACCUCUAUACCUCAAAUUUAGAUUAAAAGUCACUCCCUCUGGGAAAUCUUCCUUGGAUAGCCACAUACUAUAAAUAACUAUUUUUAUUUGGACCUUAAGUUUCUCUUUGAGACACACAUAGCAAACAAACUCAGCUCUAUGUUGAGCUCUAUUAGACAGAGAGUACAUUUCAAUAUAGAUAAAGAAUUUCUAUUAUUUGCUUUGGCAAGAGGAUAGAUACUAUGGCUUGAGGGGGUCCCUACCAAUAUACAUGAUGAGGCUUGGUUCCCAUAAUAAUAGUGUUGAGAGGUGUUGGGGCUUUAUGAGGAAAUAAUGCUUUUUUUUUCAGGAGUAUGCAAAGUUGGAUUGGUAACUGAAUUGGUAGCUAUGAGAAUGGAUUGUUAAAAAACACAACUGACCAUCCUCUUGCUGCCUCUCACAUGAGCUCUUCUGCAUGCACCUGCUCACCACUCUUACACACACUCCAGGCCAUCUGCCCUGAGGCCCUCACCAGAAGCUGAACCGACAUCCAUGCAUAGCACUUCGACUUGCAGAACUUUGACCUAAAUCAACCUCUUUAUACAGUACUCAGUCUCAGGUAUUUUGUUAUAGCAAGACAAACCUGACUACAACAAGUUUUAAGUGUUCUGUUUAAACAUGUUCUAAAUUAUUCAAAUUAUAUUUAAACAGAGUGUCAGUUAUCCAGAAGGUUUCUACUAUUUACUCAUGUAAAAAGAUGUUUAGGAUAUAUUGAACUUUUCAAGAAAAAAAUGAAAAGAGUAACAAUGUUGAAACUGAUAUAUUAAUAGGCAAAUUAGAUAUUAACAGGAAACCAAUUAUAUCACUCUAAGAAUAAACUAUAAAGGCAACUAAAAUAAGUCUAUACAAAAUCUUACAAUGUAAUUGAUUUGUUGAAGAAGAAAUUAAACUCUAGGAGGUUCUUUGGCAUAGUUCAAGCCUCUUCUAACUAGAAACUCAUUAGGCUGGCUAUUAAUAUUUUAUUUUCACCUAAAGUCUUAUAUCCUACCAGAAAACCACAUUUGAUUCAAAAUUACUAUAUUUCAUGAACUGAAUAAAAUAUUGGAGGUAUUCCUGAAUGCUUGAUUUGAAUGUGUCCCCUAAAGUUUAUGUGUUGGAAACUUAAUUCCCAAUGCCACAGUGUUGAGACCUUCAAGAGGUGAUUAGAUCAUGAGGGCUCUGACUGCAUGAAUGGAUUAAUGACUUUGUCAUGGAAGUGGGUUCAUUAUCUCAAGACCAUAUCUUUUCUCACGUGAGUGGCCUCAAGGACUUGAUGCAUAGAUUUUAUCCUUAGAGGAUCCUCUACAGAUACUGAAGGAUGAUUGUAAUAGUAAAUAUAUAUUGAUUAAUAUGUAUCAUAUCCAGGUACUAUCCUAAAUUAUUUUAUAAAUUAUAAUAUUUACUAUUUAAGUUAAUAAGAGACAGAUAUUAUUAUCACUAUUGAAUAGUUAUGGAAAGUAUGUCUCAAAAUGGUUAGUAUUUGUCCAGAGUUAUAACUAGAAAGGGUUAGAGUAAUGAUUUGAAUUCAUACCUUUCAACCAAACCAUAAAGCCUACUCUCUUAAACUCCACCAAAUCUAUUCUCCUCAAUGAAGUGCCCUCAAAUACAGGAGAAGUUCAAAAGCUAGAAAGAGCAUGGGGGCUGGCUGGGGUGGGGAGGACAAUCAACAGUAUCAAGUUACAAAGAUUCUAAAGAAUCUUGGGUUUAGCUUGCCUAAAGUAUGCAAUAUCAACAGUUACAUGGGUAGCAUCCAAAUUUCAUAGGAUUAAGAACUGGCCAAACAAAAGGGAAAUAUAGCAGAGCAGUACAGAUGACAAUAAGGAAAUAACCUAAAGAAAUCAGUCAACUGGACAGGGAAGAGAAUUACAAUUCUAAUGAGGGGACACAUGUGAAGAUACCAGAAACAGGUUAUCUGACUCCACCUUCCAGAAGAGAUUCUUGUGCAACAUUAUUCAAUUCCUUGGUUUCCUCCCUCCAUCCAGCAUAGUUUGCCUUAUUUCCUUUGAACUAUUCCAUGUUUUUCUCUGCCAGAUAUGGACUGCUCCAUUUUGUUUUUCUUGCAAACUACAACUUUUCGUUCAGCACACAACUUAAGGGUCAUAACUUUGAUGAAGACCUCAUUCUCAAGGACAGUCUCCAUCUUAUUCCUGAGGCACUUUAUAUACAAUUUCACAACCACAGGAAAAAGCUAAUUUCCUAUGACAAGGAACCAUGUCAAAUUACCUUUGAAAUCUCAUCAUUUAAUGUAGUGCCUGGCUCAUUCCUCUUAAAAUAUGGUUCUAGGAACUAAUCACAAUAAACUAACUACACAUAAGAAAUGUAUAUUUUCUUAACAGAAAAUCAAAGAAUACUAUUACUCAACAGUUUAAAUAAUUGUGCUCUUAUUUUUAUAAAUAUUCAGUAGAAAUGAUCAACUAAAGGGCCUUCAUAUUGGAUUGGACUAGCAAAAUUUACUUCAAUUUUAAACUGGCACUGUCCUUUGAAAUAUCUUAAUGUUUUAUGGGAUACUAAAAAUUAUCAGUUUUGGUUCAAAAAUAAAUAUUCUCUUGAAUGGCUGAAAUCACUGUAAUUUUUUUAAAAUGACAUUCAACUGAAAUUCAUUUCAAAUAUAACUCCACCUUUAGAAUAUCUGCUACAAUCUUAAUUAUGAGAAUAUUGACCUCUCAGGGAACGAAGCCAAUGAAAAUCCAAUCCCAAAGUAAAAAAAGAAGAAGAAGAAGAAGACGACAAAGAAGAGAAAAUAUCUUUGCUUCAGUUGAUUAUCUGGAACAAUGGUCUCAAAUGAAGAGAAUUCUCUUCAUGCCCACCAAAGCUAGGACUGGAAGAAAGCAAACCCCUUGACCCUGAGCAGAAAGGAAAGAAAAAGACAAGAAUGAUGGGGUGCAGAACCUCAGGCUUAGCUCCCCAAGCUAGAAGGGGGGCCCGUUUAAUACACCAUUGAUCAAAACUGAUCUAAAAGAAAACUCUGUUAUGGAAAAUUAACAUAUCACAGCAAUCAUAUUUUUUCAUUUAAAUCAUUGUGGAUUGCUUUGACCAAAUAAAUUUCUCAUUGAUAUAUUGCUAAUUAUCAUGGUUUAUUUUUGAUUAAAUACUACUAGAAAUAUGCCAAACAAAAGAGGAUGAAAUUCACUUGGGAUUGAAACUGUGGUCUAAGGAAUGUGAGGAUCUGAAAAAGAUUCAAUUGUUUUAUGUAUAGACAGCAGAAUGCAUUAUAAUUCUUAUUACACAUAUAGAGUACCAUUUUUCAUAUCUAUGAUUGUAUACAAAGUAUAUUCAUACCAAUUUGUGUCUUCAUACAUGUACUUUGGAUAAUAAUGAUCAUUACUUUCCACCAUCAGUUCUAUCCCCAUGCCCCCUCCCUUCCUAUGGAGAUUUCUUGGAAAAUUGGGAAUUGAAUCACCAUUUGACCCAGCUAUCCCUCUCCUCAGUCUACAUACCAAAGGACUUAAAAAUAGCUUACUACAGGGACAUAGCCACAUCAUUAUCAAUAUUUAUAGCAGGACAGUUCACAAUAGCUAAACUGUGUAGCCAACCUAGAUGCCCUUCAAUAGAUGAAUAGAUAAAAAAAAUGUGGCAUAUAUACACAACGGAAUAUUACUCAGCAAUAAAAGAGAAUAAAAUCAUGGCAUUUGCAGGUAAAUGGAUGGAGUUAGAGAAGAUAAUGCUAAGUUAGCCAAUCCCUAAAAAUCAAAUGCUGAAUGUUUUCUUUGAUAUAAGGAGGUUGAUUCAUAGUGGGAUAGGGAAAGGGAGCAUGGGAGGACAGAAAGAUUCAUUUUAAACCUGAAUUUCUUGAAGGUUAGGAGAUAAUUUUACAGAUAAUCAUAAUAAAUAAUUCUUUUGGAGUUUCACUAACACUUUCUAUUCUUCUAUAAUCUGACAACUCUGGUUGAAUCUGUUCUUCAAGGAAAAUGUUAUUAUCUUUUGACUACAGGGAUAAUACACUGACUCCUCAGGAUAUACCAUAACUUAUAUGGCAAUGCUAAAUAUUUGGCUGAUAGUAACUCAAAAGAAACAAUAUAGCUACAUUGCUGUCUGUUCAUUCUGAUAACUCAAAUUAUGAACAAAGAUUCACAGUCAACAUAGCUUAUUUAAAUAAAAAAGGGUCUUUCCUGAAUAUAAUCACAAAUAAUAUAAUAUAAUCACAUAUAAUAAUAUAAUAUAAUCACAUAUAAUGUUUGAAUGUCCCAGUUAUAUAAUAAAGACUCAUAAGAUACAAUCUCUCUGAGUCCCUGCCUUAAAAAGGUAAAUUAGAGUGUCUCAUAAUAAAAGAACUUUAGUAAAGUUGAAAGUAUCUUUGAAAAAAAAAAUUCUUUGAAUUCAAUAGAGGUCCCUUAAUCCCCAGACACCAUUGUGCCUGGGAUGUUAUGUUUAAAAGUUAUAGAGACAACACACUUUCUCAUUUGGGAGAAAAAGAUUUGUGCCCUCCUCCAAGGAAAAUGUAAUACAGUGAGAGUAGAGUGAACUAUAGCUGCAAAGACAGUUAAAGCUGGGAAACAAAGGGAGAAAAAAAUUCAGGAGCUAUAUAGUUCAAGAUGGUUUAGGAAAUGUCCUCAGUGUCCACAGUAUUCCUGGAGUAUGCUGGAGCCCAAGAUUAAAACAAGAAAUGAAAUUCUAACUUCUGUCAAGGUUCUACCUUGAAAAGAACCUAAUUUGGCUGGCUAUGGAAUAGUAAGAAGACAUUUCCUUUUCCCUUCUCCUGGAUUUUUAAUUUAGUUAUAGAGCAAGCAGGAUCUCCCAGAUUUAGGCAUAAAAUAACCCUAAAGAAUAAUCCACAUGAAACUCUUAAACAAAUCAAUCAAGACAGAUGGAAAGGGAGGGGUAGCAGUCCAUUUUUAGUCAUAUCCUACAGAAACACCUUAGUCCAAAAAAGUAUUUUUAAAAAGAUAAUAGGAAUACAUUUUGGUUUCUAAUCAAGAUAUUGAACUUGAACAUUUUUAUGGAUUUUAUUGGAUUGGGCAACAAUGCCUAUAUUUAGGAGCUAAGAUUAUAAUAUUUCCUAAAACAAUGAAAAUUUACAUAAGAAAUUGCUGUAAUUUUAUAUAAAAAGACCAUAUCAUUCUUUCCUCAGAAUUCUCUAUUCCUAAACAAUAUUUUACAAAGAAGGAUAACAAAUUCACAUGUGAGGUCACAUAAAUGAAAUUUCAUAGAAAUAAUUUGAGAAUCAAACCUUAUUUUAACACACAGUGAAAUUAGAGCCUUUAGAGCUUUGAAGAAACAGAAGUGUAUAAUAUUAGGAUUUUGAAAUUGCCUGUUUUCCCAAAAUUCCAAAAUAUAUAUAAUUAUGUGUGCGUGAAUCACACACACACAUGUGCGCGUGUGUGCAUGCAUGCACAUGUGUGCACACACACACACCAACCACACACAUUAGCUGUAGGCUUUCUCUUUAAUGGUCAAAGCAAGGCUACUGAAAAGUUGAAUCAACAGAAUUAACUACUCUUGACAUUAACACCAUGAUUUCAGUAUCUAUCAUGAGUCACUAACAAAAAGCUAGAAGUUUUAAAAGGCAUUUCUAAUACAAUUUUCAAAUUCCAGAUAACAUGAACACAUUAACAAUUCAAACAUUAUAGACAUGUUAAAAGCAAUAAGAAAUUACUAUAGCACCAUUAUAAUCAGUUAUAGACAACUUAUAUCCACAGGGACACUGUUAGAAUGCAUCAGGGAACUUCAAACAUGACACAUUCUUGCUAGACAAGUUAUUAAGCAGGUGCAAACAUAAUCAGACUAUGGUAUUCAGAAAUUAAGGCCUUUGAAAGGGAAUUAAAAUCAGAUAGUCAGCAGAGUGCAGUCACCUCAAUUGAACACUGGUGGCUUUCUGAGAAAAGCAAGAGACCAAAAAAAAAAAAAAAAAAGGAGACAGUCUCUCUCUCUCUCUCUCUCUCUCUCUCUCCCCUCUCUCCUCUCUCUCCCCUCCUCUCUCCUCCUCUCUCCUCCUCCUCCUUCUUCUUCUUCUUCUUCUUCUUCUUCUCUCUCUCUCUCUCUCUCUCUCUCCCUCCCUCCCUCCCUCCCUCCUCUCUCCUCUCUCCUCUCUCUCUCUCUUCCAGUUUCUUGCCAUGUGGUGACCUGCAUGGCCUCAGGACUUUGCCUUCAGGAGAGCCAUCCAUGGAUGUUCCCCCUCAACCUUGGCCACUGUCAGCUAAAAUAAACUUCUUUUCUGUAAAACUUACUAUCUAUGUUAUUCACAACAGAAAAUGGACUAAGACACCAAUUGAAAGUUGGAAAAAAUUAUCACAUUCAUAUAUCAAAUUCUGAGAAAUGCAUCAUUAGGUGAUUUUGGUCAUUGUUCAAGCACAAAAUGUACUUAUCCAAACUAUGAUGGCUGCAACAUCACCAGGUGAUACAGUCUUAUAGGACUGCUAUGGUACAUGUAGUUUAUUGUUGAUGGACAGUCAUUAUGUGGGGCAUGAGUAUAUGUAUAUAUUUGAUCCCUGGGUAUACAUAAUUUUGAUAUACAAUAGAAAGAAAAUGUAAAACAAUUCAUCUCCUGCAGAUUAGAUUAACAUUCUGGUCUAAAAGAUAAUUUGAAUAAGGUAAGCCAGGGCACUUUGUCUCAAAAUAUGUUGAUUUCUCAACCAAAGUUCUAUGAUCGGGGGAAUAAUUUUUGAAAUACAAUUAUUUUGGGAGAAAGCAGCUUAUACUACAGAUCUCUUUCUGAAUCCCAUGGACUUAAUAUGGGAAAAAACCUAACUCCCUUUUUACUGAAUAUACUAAUCAAAAACUGAUAUUAAAUCAACCAAAACAACCAACCAGGAUGCUUGAAUUCACAUUGUUUAUUAUCACAAAUUUGAGGGUUUCAAAAUGGUCAACAGUCCUAGCAUGUUUCCUAAAGCAUUUCAAUUUCCAGUCUCCAAAACAACUGUUUCACACUUUCCAUCAGAGAUGUUACAUACCCAGCUCUUAGUUUUCACUCAGAGGAAACUGCCAUCAUCUUUACACCUGAAAUUAAUUAAACUACAUACCUCUCUACACAUUUAUUCUUCUAAUCCCCAUCACAAUUAUUAAAUGUACCCAGUCCUAAUAAGAACUAGCCCCUAUAUUAUGCACUACAGCUUCCAUCCUCUGUGAUUUUACUGUUAAUUAUUGCAUCUGACAUUAUUGCUGCUUCUGUCUUCUAUUUAUUUCUCCCUGUCUAGAGAUGGUAUAUAGUGUCUUCCACAUAUAAAAUCCUUCCCUUAAUCACAAAUUCCAUCUCAUACUCUGCAAAAUAUUGCUCUAUUUACUAACUUUAUCACCUCUCAAGAAUUUAUCAAGUGCCUUUAAAUAUAAUAUAAAUUAUUCAUGAAAACUAUACUAAAUUUAUAAAACUUUACUGCAAAGAAUACCAAUUGUAUAGUAAUUCAUCUAAUUUGUUUAGUGCUGAUAUAAACAGUAUUUUCUAAAUCCAUUUACCUAAUGAAUUUUUAUUUUGCUAUUGUCUUAAUUGUAAGUUGAUUCUAUUGAUAUUUCAAGGUGGCAAGAUAACAUCACAAAUUAAGGACAGUUUGUUCUUCAUCAGAUAUUUCUUUCUUUCUUUUUCUUUCCCUCAGUAUAAUAGCCAAAGUUGCCAGUACUGUUUUAUUACUAAGGGUGAUGUUAGAUAUCUUUGUCUUGAGUAACAAAGACUACAACAAAAAAGCAAUAGCAUCAUGUAUUUACACAAUAUUCCAUAGUUUUCAUCAACUUCAAAUUUAUCCCUCUAAUUCCCUUGAGUGAAAAUAUCUUAAUAAUAGUACAUAUCACUUUCCACACUCUCAGGCCACAUAGAAAAAAUAUUACACAUGAUAUUCUCUUCAAGUAUAACAUACCUUUCCAACUUGUGAUAGAAUAUGAAAGAUUUAAAACAUUCAUCAGAUCUUAGAAACAACCUCAUGAAUGUGUAUAUGAAAUUAAGUAAGAAAAAAAAAAGCCUUACACUGCUUCUUGAUUCAUUACGCAUGUAGCUCUUGGGCAAGAACAAUUAUUGGUGUCAUCAUAUGUUAAUCCUAUAUUAAAUCCAAGCAGCUGAGCUAUAAUAACUGAAAAUCCCUCCAAACUUAUAGCAUCUGGAUACUAAAAUAAAGACAAUUGAAGAAAAGAGUAUUUUAGUAGAAGAACACAGAAACAACAAAUAACUUGAAACAUUUUUGUUUCUAUAAAACUUUACAAUUAAAUACUUUUAUAGUAAGUACAAUUUAUAAUCAUUCAUUUUGAUUUUCAUUGAUGUGUAUAUUGGUGCUAAUUUACUGAUUAAGUAAAAUGAACUAGUAUAAAACAUUAACUAUGUCAGUCACUAAUUUAAAAUAUAGUAUGCACAAAUUUUGCAAUUUUGAACACAUUAUUUUUGAUGCAAUGUAAAAUAUUUCAUUUUAAUCAAUUCAUGCAAUUAAAACAUUUCAGUGUAUUUAUGUGUCAGGCACUGUAUAGAUGAUGGACUUCAUCCAUACCUAGAGUUUAUAGAAAGGGAGAAAAACAAAAGCAGAAAUCCACAACAAACUUCUUAAAGGCAAACACAUCAUUAAAAGUUUCUUGAAGAAAACAAAAUACUUCAAAAGAGAAUUUUAUGAAGGAGUAUAAGGAAAAAUAUUAAUAUAAGGCAGUUACAAAAACCUCUUUGGUAUGUAGGCUGAUAUGUUAAGGUUGGGAGAUGACCCAACAAUAUAAAUAUGGGCAGGGUUCUUGAAUGGCUACCAGUUAAUAAAUUAUGGUCUGAGUGAAGGGAAGAAAUGACAGGACAGAAGCUAGGGAUAUAAAUACAACCAUGAUAAAGAAAUUUGAGGUGGAAAAUGAUUUAAAAUGGUGGCAGAGUGUCAAUAUAUUUCAUAAUAUUUAAAUAUAUUAUUCCAUAUUAUUUAACUCUAAUGAUAUUUUACAUAUUCUUUAAUCACUACAAAUAAAAUUCUUACAGCAUUUCUAAUUUUGCUAUGUGAAUUGGUAACCUGUACACUCAGAAAAAUGAGAAAUUAUACCCCAUCUGAUUCAAAUGUAUGAUAUGUUAAGAUCAUUAUACAGUCAUGUGUAACUAAUUAAAACAAAAAAAGAAAUUUAUAGUAGAAAAUUUUAAUUUAUACAUAGAAAAAAUAAAAAAAAAUAUUGUUUGUAUGUAUAUGCAUGUGUAUGACUGAAAAAAAAAUGCAUCUAGCAGUAUAGAAAAAAUCAUUUGUAGGUAUAAUUCCCUAAUAUACUGUAAUACCUGAGCCUAAAUAUCCCAGUGUUAGAAUUUGAAAGAAAGUUAAAGCAGAACAGGACAUGAGUGAUGAUCUCAUUUGGGGGCAUAAGGUUUACAUCUGGAGGCAUUAGUUUACAUCUUGGGNUUAUAGAAUUGGUGGUAGCGAGAC
Molecule: long non-coding RNA, 9828 nt
Filed under: Marmota monax (woodchuck)
Lineage: Eukaryota; Metazoa; Chordata; Mammalia; Rodentia; Sciuridae
Source: RNAcentral